UACGUAGGUGGCAAGCGUUGUCCGGAUUUACUGGGCGUAAAGAGCGCGCAGGCGGUCGUUCAAGUCGCGUGUGAAAGCCCCCGGCUCAACUGGGGAGGGUCACGCGAUACUGAUCGACUCGAAGGCAGGAGAGGGAAGUGGAAUUCCCGGUGUAGUGGUGAAAUGCGUAGAUAUCGGGAGGAACACCAGUGGCGAAGGCGGCCUUCUGGACCAGUACUGACGCUCAUGCACGAAAGCGUGGGGAGCAAACAGG
RNAcentral lists this ribosomal RNA (253 nucleotides) under uncultured bacterium. RNAcentral's name for it is "partial 16S ribosomal RNA". It matches the Rfam family "Bacterial small subunit ribosomal RNA", at positions 524 to 776 of the family's 1533-position model. The record is from RNAcentral.